This 74-nucleotide transfer RNA is filed under the name Holosporaceae bacterium. RNAcentral describes it as "tRNA-Met". It matches the Rfam family "tRNA". From Rfam's summary of the family: Transfer RNA (tRNA) molecules are approximately 80 nucleotides in length. Their secondary structure includes four short double-helical elements and three loops (D, anti-codon, and T loops). Further hydrogen bonds mediate the characteristic L-shaped molecular structure. tRNAs have two regions of fundamental functional importance: the anti-codon, which is responsible for specific mRNA codon recognition, and the 3' end, to which the tRNAs corresponding amino acid is attached (by aminoacyl-tRNA synthetases). tRNAs cope with the degeneracy of the genetic code in two manners: having more than one tRNA (with a specific anti-codon) for a particular amino acid; and 'wobble' base-pairing, i.e. permitting non-standard base-pairing at the 3rd anti-codon position. Lineage: Bacteria; Pseudomonadati; Pseudomonadota; Alphaproteobacteria; Holosporales; Holosporaceae. The record is from RNAcentral.
GGCGGGAUAGCUCAGUCGGUUAGAGCAGCGGAAUCAUAAUCCGCGUGUCGGGGGUUCAAGUCCCUCUCCCGCUA